UCACAUCUUGCCUUCUAUUAAAGGAGGGUGGGCUUGAGUGUUUCCGUGCUGAAGGGACAGUGUGAGGAGAGCAGCUCAGUGUGGUUGAUAAGUAGGCCCCAAGGGUGCAGGCCUGAGGUCUUGGGGAGAGGCCAUGGGCUCUGCCGAGGGUGGGAGGAAGGCGAGGGCCCAAAGGACCGGUCCUGGUGCUUCCUUGUGUUGUGGAUAGGUCUUUGAGAUUAACUAGAUCCGGAUGAAGGGUUUUCACGAGGGACAUACACUGUGUGGGGCCUUGGUGUGAGGCUCCUGGGUACCUGUUAGGACCUUGCCUCCAUCCGUGUGGUGCCCAGUUUUGCUGGUUCUCAGGGGUUCCCCGGCUGCAUGUUAGAAUCCUGGUUUCUGUUCUGAUUCUCCUUCCAGGUGGGUGAAGAGGGACAGUUAUCUUCCCGUGGGCAGCCAUAACCUCAAGGCGGCUGCCAAGGCCAAGCUGGGCUAUGAUCCUGUGGAGCUGGACCCGGAGGACAUGUGCCGCAUGGCCACCGAGCAGCCCCAGACGCUGGCCACGUACUCCGUGUCAGACGCCGUCGCCACUUACUACCUGUACAUGAAGUACGUCCACCCCUUCAUCUUCGCUCUGUGCACCAUUAUUCCCAUGGAGCCCGACGAGGUGCUGCGGAAAGGCUCUGGCACUCUGUGCGAGGCCUUGCUGAUGGUGCAGGCCUUCCACGCCAACAUCAUCUUCCCCAACAAGCAGGAGCAGGAGUUCAAUAAGCUAACGGACGAUGGACACGUGCUGGACUCCGAGACCUACGUGGGGGGCCACGUGGAGGCCCUCGAGUCUGGGGUCUUCCGCAGUGAUAUCCCUUGCCGGUUUAGGAUGAAUCCCGCCGCCUUUGAUUUCCUGCUGCAGCGGGUUGAGAAGACCUUGCGUCACGCCAUUGAGGAAGAAGAGAAGGUGCCCGUGGAACAAGUCACCAACUUUCAAGAGGUAACCGUCCAGGAGGCAGGAGGAGCUAGUCUGUUCAUGCGCCUUCUUCACAAACCACGUCUUUCAGCAGCACAUUCGUUGUGCGUCUGCUGCGUGUGGUGCUGUGGACGGAUGACACAGGGUCUCUGGUGGGACAGGGCAGUCAUGGUUGUGACGUGUGAUGCUUUCUACCGAGGUCGGAGGGCUUCAUGAGAAGGUGGGGUGUGAGCUGCUCCUGAAAUGUGGUCACACGGCAGGUGGGCCCUGGUGGGAUGUGUUCGUGCCCCGUUUUAAGGCAUUGGGACUUUAUUUCGUAGGCAUUGGGGAGACAUUGGA
This 1282-nucleotide long non-coding RNA is filed under the name Aotus nancymaae (Ma's night monkey). Its description in RNAcentral is "lncRNA (ENSANAG00000039565.1)". The record is from RNAcentral. Lineage: Eukaryota; Metazoa; Chordata; Mammalia; Primates; Aotidae.